This 737-nucleotide long non-coding RNA is filed under the name Phasianus colchicus (ring-necked pheasant). Its description in RNAcentral is "lncRNA (ENSPCLG00000018617.1)". The record is from RNAcentral. Lineage: Eukaryota; Metazoa; Chordata; Aves; Galliformes; Phasianidae.
GGUAACUGGUUCCUGGUUGCAAGCUGCCUUAUGCAUUCGCUCCUGCUUCUUUCUGGAUAAUUUCCCCCCCUCCUUCUUCUUAGCCUUCUAUCUGGCCCAGCUCAACCCAACCCAACUCAGCUUCUGCUCCACCAGAUGACAAAGCACGUGAACAUAUUUCCUAUCAGUCCCUAUCCUGUGUCCAAAUGCAGCAGCAUCACAGACAUCAAGGAAGAAAACAACUGAAGAAGCCCAUCUGCACCUCCUGGCAGAAGAUUAAGUUCAAUUUCAAGAAUCCAUUGGAGAAGAAAUGCAUGUAGAAUUGAAAAAGAAGCAUUUUGUCAUUAAAAGAAGACAUCCCAGGGCGUGUUAGGGGAUACCAGCAGAGAGAGGCUGUUUUCCUGGGACCUCAGACCUCAUCCUCCCUGAAUUUCCAGCUCUGUCUGGCACGCUUGAAAAAAAAAAAAAAAAAGCAGCUAAUUCAAAUAGUUUAUUUCAGCCAGGAGGAUCCAAAUGGCACCAAGAAGCUGAGGAUGAACAGCAGAAGUGAAACCAAGAAAAAGUGUUCCAUGUUCUCACGUGAGAAGUAGCUCUGACAGACGUGUGGUCUCUUUUGAUCCAGGUUUGCACUGCUUAAGUUCCUCCAAGCAGCAAGAGCCACUCCCUGGUGGGAAGCCUCCUUGGCUAUGACCGAGAAGUGGGAAUUUAAAGGCAGCAUAACUCAAGACUCACAGAAACCAGCUGCUCCUCAACUUUCA